GUAAGGAAUAUUGGACAAUGGACGCAAGUCUGAUCCAGCCAUGCCGCGUGAAAGAUUAAGGUCCUCUGGAUUGUAAACUUCUUUUAUAAGGGACGAAAAACGGCUUUUCUAAGUCGUCUGACGGUACCUUAUGAAUAAGCACCGGCUAACUCCGUGCCAGCAGCCGCGGUAAUACGGAGGGUGCAAGCGUUAUCCGGAUUCACUGGGUUUAAAGGGUGCGUAGGCGGGCAGGUAAGUCAGUGGUGAAAUCCUAGAGCUUAACUCUAGAACUGCCAUUGAUACUAUCUGUCUUGAAUAUUGUGGAGGUAAGCGGAAUAUGUCAUGUAGCGGUGAAAUGCUUAGAUAUGACAUAGAACACCUAUUGCGAAGGCAGCUUACUACGCAUAUAUUGACGCUGAGGCACGAAAGCGUGGGGAUCAAACAGGAUUAGAAACCCCGGUAGUCC
Molecule: ribosomal RNA, 445 nt
Filed under: uncultured bacterium
Lineage: Bacteria
Description: bacterial SSU rRNA
Rfam family: Bacterial small subunit ribosomal RNA
Source: RNAcentral